RNAcentral lists this long non-coding RNA (395 nucleotides) under Trifolium pratense (red clover). Its description in RNAcentral is "long non-coding RNA (TPRA_LNC006750)". Lineage: Eukaryota; Viridiplantae; Streptophyta; Magnoliopsida; Fabales; Fabaceae. The record is from RNAcentral.
GGAGGGCUCGGAAAUAAUAUCCGAGAGUGUUAGGAAGUGCCUUAGACACCUCUAGACCUUUGUUGAUAGGUUUAGUUUCGAUAAGAUAAUUUGGGAGAAACUUAUUCAUUGUCCGCUCGUUAUUUUUAGGAAACNNNNNNAAACGGUAGAUAGUGAGAAACAUUGUGGUUUUGGUUGGAAGUAUUGCCGAGGUAAGGGCACCUUUCUAUUUAUGCCUUACUUCCGACAAUAACAUGUGUUGUUUUGGCUUGUUGUUUAUGCACUGGUUGUGAGUGCUUUGUAUGGUUGCGUUAUGUAUUCUCGUAAUGAGUUAUGUUGAAUACAUAUUUGUUGUUUACAUAUUAUGCGAAUAUGUAUGUUGGAAUGUUUGAGAUUACAUAUUAAUGAGAAUAUGU